This 72-nucleotide transfer RNA is filed under the name Phrynosoma platyrhinos (Desert horned lizard). RNAcentral's name for it is "tRNA-OTHER". The record is from RNAcentral. Lineage: Eukaryota; Metazoa; Chordata; Lepidosauria; Squamata; Phrynosomatidae.
ACCAGUGUGGCGUAGUGGUUUGAGUGAUGGACUAGGACUCUGGAGACCAGGGUUCGAAUCCCAGCUCAACUG